RNAcentral lists this ribosomal RNA (404 nucleotides) under uncultured prokaryote. RNAcentral's name for it is "bacterial SSU rRNA". It matches the Rfam family "Bacterial small subunit ribosomal RNA", at positions 355 to 774 of the family's 1533-position model. The record is from RNAcentral.
UGGGGAAUAUUGCACAAUGGGCGCAAGCCUGAUGCAGCGACGCCGCGUGAAGGAUGAAGGUCUUCGGAUCGUAAACUUCUAUCAGCAGGGAAGAAACCAUGACGGUACCUGACUAAGAAGCCCCGGCUAACUACGUGCCAGCAGCCGCGGUAAUACGUAGGGGGCAAGCGUUAUCCGGAAUUACUGGGUGUAAAGGGUGCGUAGGCGGCGAUUUAAGUCAGAUGUGAAAACUCAGGGCUCAACCUUGAGACUGCAUCUGAAACUGAGUUGCUAGAGUGCAGGAGAGGAAAGCGGAAUUCCGAGUGUAGCGGUGAAAUGCGUAGAGAUUCGGAGGAACACCAGUAGCGAAGGCGGUUUUCUGGACUGUAACUGACGCUGAGGCACGAAAGCGUGGGGAGCGAACA